UUAAGUUCAGCGGGUAGUCCUACCUGAUCCGAGGUCAACAUAUGGCGGUCCCGCCCUCGCCCGCUUGCGCGUGGCCCGGGGGUUCCUAUGUCGGGGGUUUUACGGCAAGCCUAGCUGCUUCUCCCAGGGCAUCUAACGGUGAAGUUACUGUACCCGGGGUCGGCAGCCAGACCGCGCACUUCUGCUUGGGGGCCUAGGGG
RNAcentral lists this unclassified non-coding RNA (200 nucleotides) under Hypocreales sp. RNAcentral's name for it is "partial internal transcribed spacer 2". Lineage: Eukaryota; Fungi; Ascomycota; Sordariomycetes; Hypocreales. The record is from RNAcentral.